AUACUCCCGCCACCAGUUACGCUAAUAAAACCCUAGCCACCUUCUGCUCAUUUACCCACUUUGUAUUGAAAGAAGCCAAGCGGGGGAGAGAUGGCAAAAAUGGUGUCCGGGUCGGGGAUCUGUGCAAAGGUGGUGGUGGUGGACGCGCAGCAUCACAUGUGGUGGCGGUUGGCGUCGACGGUGGCGAAGCAGCUCCUGAACUGGCAGAAAGUUGUGGUGGUACGAUGCGAGGAGAUUUGCAUGUCCGGAGGAUUGGUAAGGCAGAAGAUGAAGUACA
This 277-nucleotide unclassified non-coding RNA is filed under the name Hevea brasiliensis (rubber tree). The record is from RNAcentral. Lineage: Eukaryota; Viridiplantae; Streptophyta; Magnoliopsida; Malpighiales; Euphorbiaceae.